This 506-nucleotide ribosomal RNA is filed under the name uncultured Glomus. RNAcentral's name for it is "SSU rRNA". It matches the Rfam family "Eukaryotic small subunit ribosomal RNA", at positions 569 to 1078 of the family's 1831-position model. The record is from RNAcentral. Lineage: Eukaryota; Fungi; Glomeromycota; Glomeromycetes; Glomerales; Glomeraceae.
AGCAGCCGCGGUAAUUCCAGCUCCAAUAGCGUAUAUUAAAGUUGCUGCAGUUAAAAAGCUCGUAGUUGAAUUUCGGGGUCAAUAUGUUGGUCGUGCCUUGGUACGUACUAGCUUAUUGAUUUCUCCUUUCUGACGAACCAUGAUGUCAUUAAUUUGGUGUCAUGGGGAAUCAGGACUGUUACUUUGAAAAAAUUAGAGUGUUUAAAGCAGGCUCGCGCUUGAAUACAUUAGCAUGGAAUAAUGAAAUAGGACAUUUGAUUCUAUUUUGUUGGUUUCUAGGAUCGAUGUAAUGAUUAAUAGGGAUAGUUGGGGGCAUUAGUAUUCAAUUGUCAGAGGUGAAAUUCUUGGAUUUAUUGAAGACUAACUACUGCGAAAGCAUUUGCCAAGGAUGUUUUCAUUAAUCAAAAACGAAAGUUAGGGGAUCGAAGACGAUCAGAUACCGUCGUAGUCUUAACCAUAAACUAUGCCGACUAGGGAUCGGAUGAUGUUAAUUUUUUAAUGACUCA